GCUCUUCAGAUCUCCUCAGUCUAGGGUCUAUGCCUGGACGCUCAGAACACUUGUGUUAGAAGCAAUCUGUGAGUGUUUUUGUGCACUUGUGUGUG
Non-coding RNA from Vicugna pacos (alpaca), 95 nucleotides. NCBI's taxonomy places the organism in Eukaryota, Metazoa, Chordata, Mammalia, Artiodactyla, Camelidae. The record is from RefSeq and is a predicted model, not a curated record.